AGAAAGCAGAGGAGUGGAGCCUCCAGAGACCAGGACUGAGGACCACAAGGACACAUGCUGAACACAAGGCUGUCUCUACAGUGCCCAUUCACUGUAAACUAGAAGCGCCCUGGAUUACAUCACCCUGGACCUCUACAGUACCUAAACUGUUCCUCCUUGCCUCAUGAAGGAACGGAAGAGUUAGGACCCAGUGAGAGGCUUGCUGAGGCGUCAGAAUAAGGCUGUAAAGGUGGAACUCUGUUUUCUAUAACAGAUUUUCAAGUAAUCUGAAUGAGAGUAAGUCGCUCCG
Molecule: long non-coding RNA, 289 nt
Filed under: Rattus norvegicus (Norway rat)
Lineage: Eukaryota; Metazoa; Chordata; Mammalia; Rodentia; Muridae
Description: long non-coding RNA NONRATT010513
Source: RNAcentral